RNAcentral lists this transfer RNA (65 nucleotides) under Amarygmini sp. ACP-2013. Its description in RNAcentral is "tRNA-His". Lineage: Eukaryota; Metazoa; Arthropoda; Insecta; Coleoptera; Tenebrionidae. The record is from RNAcentral.
UUUAAAUAGUUUAAUUAAAAUUUUGAUUUGUGGUGUCAAAGAUGUAUUGAUAAUAUUUUAAAUAA